RNAcentral lists this ribosomal RNA (253 nucleotides) under uncultured bacterium. Its description in RNAcentral is "partial 16S ribosomal RNA". It matches the Rfam family "Bacterial small subunit ribosomal RNA", at positions 524 to 776 of the family's 1533-position model. The record is from RNAcentral.
UACGUAGGGUGGGAGCGGUGUCCGGAAUUACUGGGCGUAAAGAGCUCGUAGGUGGGUUGUCGCGUUGUUCGUGAAAUCUCACGGCUUAACUGUGAGCGUGCGGGCGAUACGGGCAGACUGGAGUACUGCAGGGGAGACUGGAAUUCCUGGUGUAGCGGUGGAAUGCGCAGAUAUCAGGAGGAACACCGGUGGAGAAUGUGGUGCUUUGGGCAGUAACUGACGCUGAGGAGCGAAAGCGUGGGGAGCGAACAGG